Molecule: long non-coding RNA, 1218 nt
Filed under: Drosophila melanogaster (fruit fly)
Lineage: Eukaryota; Metazoa; Arthropoda; Insecta; Diptera; Drosophilidae
Description: antisense RNA:CR46485 (Dmel_CR46485)
Source: RNAcentral
AUUUAGGUUAUCGAUACCAAAUAAAAACUAAUUUUUUUUUGUAACAAUUAAGCUUUUAUUGGAAGAUCUACAGAGUCUUAAUUUUAAACUUACGUUCCACCGUUUCGACAAAGUCUAUAAAAUCCUUGUAUAGAACCUUUGGAACCUCUAGAGCGGCAAAGUGCCCGCCCUUUUUGUGAUCGGCGAACUGCGCAACUCCUCGCUUACGAUCGUCGAGCACAAAUGAUUUGUAAAGCGCAAGCUACCGGCAAACAAAAGCUUUUUGUUGGCUUGUGGAUUUCAAGUGGAUCGUAUUCCACACGGCAAUGCAAUGCGAGCAUGAUUGGACAAAUAAUUUGAGAAUUUCGGCGAGCUUUUGGCAACAAAUUGAGCCAAUUUUUCCCACAAAGGCGGUAAAAUCAUUGAACAACAUGGCCGGCAUCUCCAGGGCGGCAAAGUGGCUGCCCUGCUGGAAGUACAUCGAGUGGGUCAGGUUGGGGAACUUGUCCCUCAGCUGCCAGUCAGUCACCGAGGCCAGAUCGAACCGGAAGCGGGCACAGCCCAUGGGAACCGGGGACUGCACACGAUCCAGCUGGAGAUCCCUGUACGUCUUGGACACGUUCUCCAGGUAGAAACGAGCCGCUGUCGUGGCCGAGUUCGUCAGAUAGUAGACCAUCAGGUUGUCCAGCACAGCCUCCAGGCCGAAGACAGUGACUAUGGCGCCAAAGUCCUGCUUCAGGCCGGGAUUUGUGCAGGUCUGGAAUUUCUCGAGGAUAUAGGAGGCCAAGCCGACGGGACUGGAGGUCAGAGCCGCUCCAAUCGUAUCCGGCUUGGUGGCCUGGAUGUGAAAGUAACCGCUUUCCUCCAGCAGCUCCAGCCAUUUUUCCCACACGGGGAAGUGAUGAUCCACAAAGAAUCUGGACGGCAAGUACUUCUCCGGGAAGAAGCUGCCGUAGAUUCCCUUCAGAAUGGCCAGUGGCGUGUGCAGAACGCACAUGUUCGAGUGGUAACCGAUUACGUUCUCUGGAUACAAGGUGGCCAAGUUGCUGCCAAUGAUGCUGCCCCAAUCUCCGCCUUGGAUGAAGAACUUCUUGUGGCCCAGACGCAGCAUCAGGUUACGCAUCACAGUGGCCAUUUCAGCGGCAUUAAAUCCGGGACGCGUGGCAGCCUUAAGUUAUAAUAAUAAUAAUAAUAAUUAAAAUGAAGAAAUUCAACUGAAAAACAAAUAACACUCACAUC